UACGGAGGGUGCAAGCGUUAUCCGGAUUCACUGGGUUUAAAGGGUGCGUAGGUGGAUUGGUAAGUCAGUGGUGAAAUCUCCGGGCUUAACCCGGAAACUGCCAUUGAUACUAUCAGUCUUGAAUACCGUGGAGGUCAGUAGAAUAUGUCAUGUAGCGGUGAAAUGCUUAGAUAUGACAUAGAAUACCAAUUGCGAAGGCAGCUGGCUACACGAAUAUUGACACUCAGGCACGAAAUCGUGGGGAUCAAACAGG
This 253-nucleotide ribosomal RNA is filed under the name uncultured bacterium. RNAcentral's name for it is "partial 16S ribosomal RNA". It matches the Rfam family "Bacterial small subunit ribosomal RNA", at positions 524 to 776 of the family's 1533-position model. The record is from RNAcentral.